RNAcentral lists this ribosomal RNA (681 nucleotides) under uncultured bacterium. RNAcentral describes it as "bacterial SSU rRNA". It matches the Rfam family "Bacterial small subunit ribosomal RNA", at positions 28 to 668 of the family's 1533-position model. The record is from RNAcentral.
AACGAACGCGGCGGCGUGGAUCAGGCAUGCAAGUCGAACGGGAUCUUUAGGAUUCAAUCCUUCGGGAGAGAAACCUUUACGUGAGAGUGGCGGAAGGGUGAGGAACACGUGGGUAAUUUACCUCGAUGUUGGGGAUAGCCUCCCGAAAGGGGGGAUAAUACCGAAUGUGGUCGGGUCACGCAUGUGACCUUGUCUGAAGGCGGGGAUCUUCGGACCUGCCGCAUUGAGAUGAGCCCGCGGCCUAUCAGCUUGUUGGUGAGGUAACGGCUCACCAAGGCUUAGACGGGUAGCUGGUCUGAGAGGAUGGUCAGCCACACUGGGACUGAGACACUGCCCAGACUCCUACGGGAGGCUGCAGUCGAGAAUCAUUCGCAAUGCACGAAAGUGCGACGAUGCGACGCCGCGUGCAGGAUGACGGCCUUCGGGUUGUAAACUGCUGUCAUGGGGGAACAAUAGCCCGGGUGUUAAUACCAACCAAGGUGUGAUGGUACCCUAAGAGGAAGCCACGGCUAACUCUGUGCCAGCAGCCGCGGUAAUACAGAGGUGGCGAGCGUUGUUCGGAUUUACUGGGCGUAAAGGGUGCGUAGCGGCAUGGUAUGUCGGAUGUGAAAGCUCUGGGCUCAACCCAGAAACGGCAUUUCGAAACUGCUGUGCUAGAGUACUGGAGAGGUGAGCGGAAUU